UUCAGUUUAUAAACUAUUGUAUAGUUAUUGUAUGCAAAUUACAGCGUGUGCUUUAAGUGAUAAGUGAUAACAGUCAUGAAGAGAUAAGAGACCACUAUGAAAAAAAUAGGUCAAAAAUGUGAAACAGCAUUUUUGCAAAUACUAUGACUCAUGAUAAUUGAAUGCUUAGCAAUUGUCGAGAUGUCGACACAUCAUGUUACGUAAAUCACGUUGAGCAUCAUUCAUUGCCAUUCACAGUGAUUAAAAGAAUACCUCCAACAUCAGAAAAUACGGAAAAUACGUCGGAGCAUCAAUCCAAGAUCUUAGGCGCCACUACACGAUAACGAGCAGCUCGUGCAUAAGCAACGGAUCGAAUUGCUCGACCA
This is a long non-coding RNA of Acromyrmex echinatior (Panamanian leafcutter ant), 365 nucleotides long. Lineage: Eukaryota; Metazoa; Arthropoda; Insecta; Hymenoptera; Formicidae. The record is from RefSeq and is a predicted model, not a curated record.